Long non-coding RNA from Poecilia latipinna (sailfin molly), 1894 nucleotides. RefSeq lists it as uncharacterized. Lineage: Eukaryota; Metazoa; Chordata; Actinopteri; Cyprinodontiformes; Poeciliidae. The transcript has 3 exons. The record is from RefSeq and is a predicted model, not a curated record.
GUGGCGGUAAUGCUCACCUAAACGUUUCUUGCCAACAGCCAAUAAAUUUCAAGAAGAAGAGGACACCGCUGGGAGUUUUGGAAGAAAACCGUUUUGGGCCAAAUUUUUUUUUUUUUUUUUUUUUUUUACCUUGAAGAAAACACACAUUUUAAAAACAAUGCUGAACUGAAAACCUGCCACUACUCUGGACUGAGCUGUUGGGGCUACCAGAUGAGAAGCUGCUUUCCAGAGGGAUAAGUAAAAUGUAGGUCCAGCGGGAAAUGAUCUACCAAAGACAGAAGUGGAGCUACAGCAUGACCAGAAAGGAGAAGAAUCGAGAUUUUUCAUUGACCCGAUCAAAGUCUAACUUUCAGCCUGGCUGGAAUACGAUACCGAGAUCUUCAGAGAGUUGUGCACCAAUAGACGUCUGCAAACCUCAAUCUGUUCAAGCAAGGUUGUGAGGAAGAGAGGGGCAGCAUCUCCCUGUGAUGAUCAGGACAGAGGGAGGGAUGGAGAAGCUCUUGGCUUAGUCGAUUUGAAGUCGUCUUCAUGUUGUUUGUCACAGCAUCCAUGACACAAAGCGAUGCAUAACAAGCUGAAAGAUGCCACGUGCGACGGUGUGUAGAAAGGGAGAAGGAGACCGCGCACUGAGAGAAACGCGUUAACUCAGAAGGAGACGUAGAGGACAUCUGCAGGAAUUAAAGGGGGAAGGAAAAAAAAAAAGACACUGGGAGUUUCCGUGCAAUUGUACUUUCCCUGAUAACAUCAGUUGAUUUUAUUACAAGACGUCUGCUAAUAUCUUUUCUGUCACCUUAAUUUUCAUUCCUCACCAUAUCGCCAACAUGGCAAGCAGAGCUAAUGAAUUCGACUGUGAAUGAAGGAGCGAGAGGUGGCAGGGAACGAGGGAGAGCUAGAGCAAGUCAUCCUGCGAGAAGAGAGCAUAUUGCAUACUGAAACAACUCCUCCAGCCACUGACUUGGAAAUGAGUCACAGUGCUCCGCUCGACUAAUAAAAUCUACAGCAUGUGUUAGACUGUUUCUCCUUGUUUAACACCAAGCCAGAAUGUGUUGGGUCAUAACAAUGAGGUGGUAAAAAUGUUCUAAAUGUACUUCCCUUGUGGAGCUCGGAGAGAGUUUUGAAUUUUGUCUUCGCCAGCAGAGGGGGGUAAUGGUACACUGAAGAGUUGGACUUGCUUUAUGGAUAUCUCACUCUUGGAAGAUCACUUAGGAAUGCCUAAUUUGGAUUUAAGUAGAAAACAAAUGCGCCCUUCGUGGUUUUUAUUUUCUUAUUUUUUCAAACCUCUGUUCUUGAGUCAUGUGAGGUUGAAACUGGUGGUGCUUUUCAGGCUUGUUUGUUUUGUUUGUGGUUGCGUUUGCUGCAUCUUUGAUUUUUCAACAUCAAGAGAGCUUAAUGGUCAUUAAUCCAGCAAGGUGGGAAGACGCAAAGCAUUUUCUGAAUUUACAUACCUCACUCAUAUUACACAGAGCCCUCAUGCUGACUUUUCUCAUAUUGGGUUUUACUUGAAGCAUUUUUUAAAAUUUUUUUAUGAAAACCAUGCAGCGAGAGGGUUUUUGGUGUUUGCUUAUUGAUCGCGCAAGUAUAACACCAUCAAAAUAUGAGACAACUUCAAGCUCAGCAGUGCUGACAAGCAGGAUUAUGUGCUAGUUAAAAUCAUUCUCGUUCUGUAAACAAACCAGUGCUGGAGGGGAACUCCAUAGCUGCAACAUCUGCCCACACUACAUAAAAUGGACAAUCUCCUUCCAGAUGCUGCCUCUGAUCUGCUCAGAAUCCUGAAUUCUUCAUCGCUGAUUUGUUUGGAGAUCAAUGCAAAAGGCAGUGCAUGAUUGUGAAGUGUAAGGAAAAUCAUGCAUAUAGCUGUUAAAAUCUUUAACGAAUAAAAAUGUCUGAAGCGUGA